UUUGACCUCGGAUCAGGUAGGAAUACCCGCUGAACUUAAGCAUAUCAAUAAGCGGAGGAAAAGAAACCAACAGGGAUUGCCCUAGUAACGGCGAGUGAAGCGGCAACAGCUCAAAUUUGAAAUCUGGCCUCGGCCCGAGUUGUAAUUUGCAGAGGAUGCUUCUGGCGCGGUGCCUUCCGAGUUCCCUGGAACGGGACGCCACAGAGGGUGAGAGCCCCGUAUGGUCGGACACCAAGCCUGUGUGAAGCUCCUUCGACGAGUCGAGUAGUUUGGGAAUGCUGCUCUAAAUGGGAGGU
RNAcentral lists this ribosomal RNA (296 nucleotides) under Diaporthe sp. RNAcentral describes it as "partial 28S ribosomal RNA". It matches the Rfam family "Eukaryotic large subunit ribosomal RNA", at positions 1 to 300 of the family's 3401-position model. The record is from RNAcentral. Lineage: Eukaryota; Fungi; Ascomycota; Sordariomycetes; Diaporthales; Diaporthaceae.